AUUACCUACGGGACGCAGCAGUGGGGAAUAUUGGGCAAUGGGCGCAAGCCUGACCCAGCAACGCCGCGUGAAGGAAGAAGGCUCUCGGGUUGUAAGCUUCUUUUAUCAGGGACGAAGCAAGUGACGGUACCUGAUGAAUAAGCCACGGCUAACUACGUGCCAGCAGCCGCGGUAAUACGUAGGUGGCAAGCGUUAUCCGGAUUUACUGGGUGUAAAGGGCGUGCAGCCGGAGAGACAAGUCAGAUGUGAAAUCCACGGGCUCAACCCGUGAACUGCAUUUGAAACUGUUUCCCUUGAGUGUCGGA
Molecule: ribosomal RNA, 305 nt
Filed under: uncultured bacterium
Lineage: Bacteria
Description: bacterial SSU rRNA
Rfam family: Bacterial small subunit ribosomal RNA
Source: RNAcentral